GCAUGGCUACCGUUCCUUCUUCCAGAGAAUUAGUGUUGAAGCUUUACCGCCAAUCCCUUCGUCAUGCCGACAAGCUUGUUUACACGGACAAGAGCUUCUACAAGAUGAGGUUGAGAAAUGAAUUCCAAAGGGCAAAAGAAGAUAGAGGGAAAAUAUCCCUUCGCGACAUAAAAAAAUUACAGCAUUUUGUUACGAAUGAUUUUGGAGGCGUGAUAUAGAGAUCAUUUAUCCUAGUACAACAGUAGACUGAUGGUGAAUAGGAUCCCAACUGUGUCUUAGUCUCUUCUUGCUCGUUCCCUCUAAGGCUGUGUACUGUCUCGCAUGUUUCUCUCCUUCCUUAAAUAAGCUAUAUUAAUAAAGAAAUUACCAGUUCACACAUUACUACUGAUAUGUUAUUAUUAGAUCAUGUUAUGUCCAUAUAAAA
Amphimedon queenslandica is the source of this 424-nucleotide long non-coding RNA. RefSeq lists it as uncharacterized. The record is from RefSeq and is a predicted model, not a curated record. Lineage: Eukaryota; Metazoa; Porifera; Demospongiae; Haplosclerida; Niphatidae. The transcript is spliced from 2 exons.